UCCACAGACUUUGUGAAAACUACAUCAAGAGCUGGUUUGAGGGCCAAGGGCUGGCCGGGAAGCUACGGGCCAUCCAGACGGUGUCCUGCCUCCUGCAGGGCCCAUGUGACGCUGGCAACCGGGCCUUGGAGCUGAGCGGUGUUAUGGAGAGUGUGAUUGCUCUGUGUGCCUCUGAGCAGGAGGAGGAGCAGCUGGUGGCCGUGGAGGCUCUGAUCCACGCAGCUGGCAAGGCUAAGCGGGCCUCAUUCAUCACUGCCAAUGGUGUCUCGCUGCUGAAGGACCUAUAUAAGUGCAGCGAGAAGGACAGCAUCCGCAUCCGGGCGCUAGUGGUGAGACGGUGGGCCUGGGGUGGGUAGGCAGGCAGCCAGGCAGGGGUCCUGGUCCAGCCGGUGUUGCAGGGUGCGGCCCCAGCACACUCUAGAUGAAAAUAAGGAAUACUGUAAUGCCAAAAAAAUUAGCCAGGCUUGGUGGUGCAUGCGUAUAGGUCCAGCUACUUGGGAGGCUGAGGCAGGAGGAUCACUUGAGCUCAGGAGGUUGAGGCUGUGGUGAGUCA
Molecule: small RNA, 553 nt
Filed under: Pan troglodytes (chimpanzee)
Lineage: Eukaryota; Metazoa; Chordata; Mammalia; Primates; Hominidae
Description: retained intron
Source: RNAcentral